This 505-nucleotide ribosomal RNA is filed under the name uncultured bacterium. Its description in RNAcentral is "partial 16S ribosomal RNA". It matches the Rfam family "Bacterial small subunit ribosomal RNA", at positions 28 to 507 of the family's 1533-position model. The record is from RNAcentral.
GACGAACGCUGGCGGCGUGCCUAAUACAUGCAAGUAGAACGCACAGUUUAUACCGUAGCUUGCUACACCAUAGACUGUGAGUUGCGAACGGGGGAGUAACGCGUAGGUAACCUGCCUGGUAGCGGGGGAUAACUAUUGGAAACGAUAGCUAAUACCGCAUAAUAUUAAUUAUUGCAUGAUAAUUAAUUGAAAGGUGCAAUUGCACCACUACCAGAUGGACCUGCGUUGUAUUAGCUAGUAGGUGAGGUAACGGCUCACCUAGGCGACGAUACAUAGCCGAACUGCGAGGAUGAUCAGCCACACUGGGACUGUGACACGGCCCAGACUGCUACGGGAGGCAGCAGUAGGGCAUCUUCAGCAAUGGACGAAAGACUGAGCGAGAAACGCCGAGUGAGUGAAGAAGAAUUUCGGAUCGUAAAGCUCUGUUGUCAGAGAGGAACGGGUGUGCGAGUGGAAAGUUCACACUGUGACGGUAUCUUACCAGAAAGGGACGGCUAACUACGUG